GAAAUAUUUUUUAAGCUUCUAACUUAACCCUAAGCCUCGUGUUUAUAUUUCU
RNAcentral lists this transfer RNA (52 nucleotides) under Tenebrionoidea sp. 3 KM-2017. RNAcentral's name for it is "tRNA-Ser". Lineage: Eukaryota; Metazoa; Arthropoda; Insecta; Coleoptera. The record is from RNAcentral.